RNAcentral lists this ribosomal RNA (504 nucleotides) under uncultured bacterium. RNAcentral describes it as "partial 16S ribosomal RNA". It matches the Rfam family "Bacterial small subunit ribosomal RNA", at positions 28 to 523 of the family's 1533-position model. The record is from RNAcentral.
GAUGAACGCUAGCGGCAGGCCUAAUACAUGCAAGUCGAACGGGAUCUGAGGGUAGCUUGCUACCCGAUUUGAGAGUGGCGCACGGGUGCGUAACGCGUGAGCAACCUACCCAUAUCAGGGGGAUAGCACGAAGAAAUUCGGACUAACACCGCAUAAUAAUACGCUAACACAUGUUGAUGUAUUUAAAUAUUUAUAGGAUAUGGAUGGGCUCGCGUGACAUUAGCUAGUUGGUAAGGUAACGGCUAACCAAGGCGACGAUGUCUAGGGGCUCUGAGAGGAGAAUCCCCCACACUGGUACUGAGACACGGACCAGACUCCUACGGGAGGCAGCAGUAAGGAAUAUUGGUCAAUGGGCGCAAGCCUGAACCAGCCAUGCCGCGUGCAGGAUGACUGCCCUAUGGGUUGUAAACUGCUUUUGUUAGGGAAUAAACCUUCUUACGUGUAAGGAGCUGAAUGUACCUAAAGAAUAAGGAUCGGCUAACUCCGUGCCAGCCGCCGCAGUAA